UGCAGUUUGGAUGAAAUAAGAUUAUGAUGCAUGGGCAUUUUUCAUUUAUGGUGAUGAUCUUCAUCUCACUAAUUUGUAUAUUCCUUUUGCUAAAUUUUUUGAAUUUAUUAUACUAAUAAGGUCCGACCCUUGUUUGAACCGAGUUACAUCCUUUUUCCAGGCAAAAAGAGAAGAAGAAGACAGAAUUCUCUCUUUUAUCAUAUUUAUCCUCUCCUACUAAGGCGUGCGUAUUUUUAUAUAAAAACAUCUCUUCAAUAACUUUCGGUCUCCUUUAUUCACUACAAAACACCCACCUCCCAACCCUCUCUCUGUUCAAUCUCCUUUAUUGACUAUACAAAACUAGACAAAAAAUUUUCAUCUAGUUCAGGCUGUUCAGCAAUAGCAGGGUCUUCAGGUGCACUAUUCUAGCAACUUGUAUUAAACACUGUUUGGUAUUAGCGCAUUUUCUGCUGAUUAUUACUUAUUGUGGAGAUGAGUCUAUAUAUAUAUAUAUAUAUAUAUAUAUGAUGUUAAAAAGGAGCAUGGCUAUUCACCACAUCACAUGGCAGCAUCUUGCAUCCAGUUUUGGCUAAAGGCUGUUUAGCAAGAGAGCACUACUGUGAUACAAGCGCACCAUGGUAAAAUGCAUUUGAUAUGAGUAAUCAAUGGGCAAGGGCAUUCAUCAGUCAUAAGCACCCAGAUUUGUGUCCCUUAUAUUAUUACAAAGGGCACAAUAGUACUGCUCACUGGUAUUAUCUUCAAUGAACAAAGCAUAAAGUGUGAGUUGAUGGAAUUUAAUGGCAAUCUUUUGCUGUAGUGGAAGGCAAUGUGUGAUGAUUAAGAUUGCAUUGCACACAACUGCAAAAGCCGAAGCUGCACAAUUUACCACAGACACUUCAUAGUAGCAUGGUAGGUAGAUUUAAAAUAAGAAAGAGUAUAUGCUUGCAGAGGUGAUGUUUCAAAAUGGGCCUUUUAAAAGUGCAUGGAGUGUUGAAGUGGUCACUUCCAUGCAAUGAAAGACAGAGCAUCCAUGCUCUUCACAAAAUAUGUCAACAGUGCUGUGAGCAGGUCGUUGCAUCUGAGGGCAAUUCAGCACAUAAUUUAUGGAGCAGAGAAGAGCAUCUAUGCUCUGCAUGGCAAUAGGCUAAACAUUUGACACAUUCAACACAAGCCUUGCAUGCACCAUCCUUCAUAUGGCAGUUCCAGCGGCAGAGAAUGAUAGUGCAGUGGAGAAAGAAGAGGCAAUCAAGACAACCAUGGACCUCACCUAUAUGUUCCAUUCACAAGCUCCACACCCGAUUUUGCAGUCAAGCUGUGUGUGGAAGACCAGUGGAUGCUGAUGGUUGAAAUGAAUGACAGAUUUGUUACAUCAUAUAGUCAGCACUUUACCUUUGAGAGGAGCUAGAUUGUUCCUUUAGUCAGAGAUUCAAGUUGCCAGGGCCAAGGCGAGAAAAGAAUGCUGAAAUAUAGAUUUCUUUUUUGGGAGGCUUUAGUCCUAUAUAACCGAAUUUUGGUAUACUGCAGAUGUUAGAACUGAACUUUUCCCAUCUUCAUGUGCUGGAAAAGAAUUUACAGUUCAUGAAUGCAAAGCCAUAUUGAUAGUAUGCAAAGGCUUGAGUCUAGUCUGUACAAACUACACCUGUCUGAUAUUCAUUUUUCGAGGAAAUAAUAAGACCAGCAAGCUUCCUGAUGAGUUGAUUCAUAAUCAACUUAUGCAAUCCAAUUUUAGUGCAUUAAUUUGUAACAUGAAGCAAACAAGUCUCACACUCAAAAAUAUGAUAUUUAUUUGCUUUUGAUGCAGAGAAUAACAAUAUCGGAUGUCAAGUGUUAGCAGUGAUUCUUAUUGACUUGCUUGAGAACGUAAGUUGAACCAUCAAACAGGAAGGCUGUCU
Eucalyptus grandis is the source of this 1871-nucleotide long non-coding RNA. RefSeq lists it as uncharacterized. The record is from RefSeq and is a predicted model, not a curated record. Lineage: Eukaryota; Viridiplantae; Streptophyta; Magnoliopsida; Myrtales; Myrtaceae. The transcript is spliced from 3 exons.